UACAGAGGUCCCAAGCGUUGUUCGGAUUCAUUGGGCGUAAAGGGCGCGUAGGUGGCGCCGUAAGUCGGGUGUGAAAUUUCGGAGCUUAACUCCGAAACUGCAUUCGAUACUGCGGUGCUUGAGGACUGGAGAGGAGACUGGAAUUCAUGGUGUAGCAGUGAAAUGCGUAGAGAUCAUGAGGAAGACCAGUGGCGAAGGCGGGUCUCUGGACAGUUCCUGACGCUGAGGCACGAAGGCCAGGGGAGCAAACGGG
RNAcentral lists this ribosomal RNA (253 nucleotides) under uncultured bacterium. RNAcentral describes it as "partial 16S ribosomal RNA". It matches the Rfam family "Bacterial small subunit ribosomal RNA", at positions 524 to 776 of the family's 1533-position model. The record is from RNAcentral.